This 250-nucleotide unclassified non-coding RNA is filed under the name plant metagenome. Its description in RNAcentral is "partial contains small subunit ribosomal RNA, internal transcribed spacer 1, and 5.8S ribosomal RNA". The record is from RNAcentral.
GUAGGUGAACCUGCGGAAGGAUCAUUACCAUAUCCAAAUUUACCAACCCACCGUGUGAACCGUUUUUUAAGGAAAAAGCUUUCAACAGUUUUUUUGGCCUUGAGAACACUAUAAACUUUGGGGGAACACUACGCACUAAAAAGGGAAAAGUGCAAGGAAAGGUGCAGCAAUGCUAUCGAUCCUUGUGUUAUUACCAAUUUUUUGUUUAGUUUCCCCAUUUGCAUUUUCAUAAAUGCAGAGUCGUUUGUAU